AGAGUUUGAUCCUGGCUCAGGACGAACGCUGGCGGCACGCUUAACACAUGCAAGUCGAACGAGAGAAGAGGAGCUUGCUUUUCUGAUCUAGUGGCGGACGGGUGAGUAACACGUGAGCAAUCUGCCUUUCAGAGGGGGAUACCGAUUGGAAACGAUCGUUAAUACCGCAUAACAUAAUUGAACCGCAUGAUUUGAUUAUCAAAGAUUUAUCGCUGAAAGAUGAGCUCGCGUCUGAUUAGCUAGUUGGUAAGGUAACGGCUUACCAAGGCGACGAUCAGUAGCCGGACUGAGAGGUUGAUCGGCCACAUUGGGACUGAGACACGGCCCAGACUCCUACGGGAGGCAGCAGUGGGGAAUAUUGCACAAUGGAGGAAACUCUGAUGCAGCGAUGCCGCGUGAGGGAAGAAGGUUUUAGGAUUGUAAACCUCUGUCUUCAGGGACGAAAAAAGACGGUACCUGAGGAGGAAGCUCCGGCUAACUACGUGCCAGCAGCCGCGGUAAUACGUAGGGAGCGAGCGUUGUCCGGAAUUACUGGGUGUAAAGGGAGCGUAGGCGGGAUCGCAAGUCAGAUGUGAAAACUAUGGGCUUAACCCAUAAACUGCAUUUGAAACUGUGGUUCUUGAGUGAAGUAGAGGUAAGCGGAAUUCCUAGUGUAGCGGUGAAAUGCGUAGAUAUUAGGAGGAACAUCAGUGGCGAAGGCGGCUUACUGGGCUUUAACUGACGCUGAGGCUCGAAAGCGUGGGGAGCAAACAGGAUUAGAUACCCUGGUAGUCCACGCCGUAAACGAUGAUUACUAGGUGUGGGGGGACUGACCCCUUCCGUGCCGCAGCAAACGCAAUAAGUAAUCCACCUGGGGAGUACGACCGCAAGGUUGAAACUCAAAGGAAUUGACGGGGGCCCGCACAAGCAGUGGAGUAUGUGGAUUAAUUCGAAGCAACGCGAAGAACCUUACCAGGUCUUGACAUCGUAUGCAUAGCUCAGAGAUGAGUGAAGUCUCUUCGGAGACAUAUAGACAGGUGGUGCAUGGUUGUCGUCAGCUCGUGUCGUGAGAUGUUGGGUUAAGUCCCGCAACGAGCGCAACCCUUACUGUUAGUUGCUACGCAAGAGCACUCUAGCAGGACUGCCGUUGACAAAACGGAGGAAGGUGGGGAUGACGUCAAAUCAUCAUGCCCCUUAUGACCUGGGCCUCACACGUACUACAAUGGCUGUCAACAGAGGGAAGCAAAGCCGCGAGGUGGAGCGAACCCCUAAAAGCAGUCUUAGUUCGGAUUGUAGGCUGCAACCCGCCUACAUGAAGUCGGAAUUGCUAGUAAUCGCAGAUCAGCAUGCUGCGGUGAAUACGUUCCCGGGCCUUGUACACACCGCCCGUCUCGCCAUGGGAGUCGGUAACACCCGAAGCCUGUAGUCUAACCGCAAGGAGGACGCAGUCGAAGGUGUGAUUGAUGACUGGGGUGAAGUCGUAACAAGGUA
This 1470-nucleotide ribosomal RNA is filed under the name metagenome. Its description in RNAcentral is "bacterial SSU rRNA". It matches the Rfam family "Bacterial small subunit ribosomal RNA". The record is from RNAcentral.